This 428-nucleotide long non-coding RNA is filed under the name Prunus persica (peach). RNAcentral's name for it is "long non-coding RNA (PPER_LNC007651)". The record is from RNAcentral. Lineage: Eukaryota; Viridiplantae; Streptophyta; Magnoliopsida; Rosales; Rosaceae.
AGUUUUAUUUUACUUUUUUUGUUGGUAAUUUGGUUAGUGAAAAGUUAUUAAACAACAGAAGAACGUGCUAGCUAGCUACAAGGAAAAGGGAGUUGGAAAACUCGUCGUAAGCACACAGUUUUUCUUGUUAGUGUCGUUCAAACAUGCUACAAUGUCUCCCGUUUUGUCUUUUCUUACGAUAACUAUUUGGGUGGGAAUCCUGAGGAAUUCUUACAGAAAGCUUCCCUCUUUGUUUUUAGAUAUCAUAUGGUUGGCUUUGUCUAAAAGCAUUUUGCCAUUUUCUGGGUUCAGCACAAUUUACAUUCAAUCUUGUCCAUGUGAAAAGUUAAGGGACAACUUGUAAUACAUAACUCAUGUUGUCAACAAAAAUAUAUCUUGGUUAAUUUUCAUUAUUUUACGUUGUUUUCAAUUUUACCGUUACAGUUACG